AAUAUUGAAUCCUAUAAUCCUAACCUAACUUAUUUUCCUAAUCAUACUCAUCUUAUAGAUUUAUAGUUGCAUUAAUUUGAUAAAGCAUUGGCAUACUCAAAAUUGGAUAAAAAACUUGAAUAUUUUAUUAAUAGCUAGCAGUGUUUAGUGAUUCAUUAUUUUUUAUGUGUCAAACAUAAAUUCUCUUGAUCCGAUUGAAAAUUUUAAAGUUUCUCCAUGACUUGUUCUAGAUAGUUUUGAACAAUUUUUGGAUAAGAAAACUAAACAUUUAUAAUGUCUAACGAGGAUAUCAAGAUAAAGUUCGUUCCAAAAAAGAGGCCAGUGAGGAAACGUCGUAACUCAGAUGACAGUGGUGAUGAAAGCAGCGAAGAAUCAAGUGUUAUGUCGAAAUUGGAAGAGAUGAAGAAUUUACAGAAGCUGAGAGGAAGACCGAAUGGUGUGAGUGUUGUCAGCCUUGCCCUUGGUCAGAAAGUUUCAGAGGUCGAAGAAUGUCUAGUGUCUGAUCCUUUCAAGGUGAAAUCAGGAGGUUUAAUUGACAUGCAUGCUCUUAAAAAUGGUCAAGUGCAGAAAGUUGAUGAUGCUUACGAUACCGGCAUUGGCACUCAGUUCUCAGCAGAAACCAAUAAGAGAGACGAAGAUGAAGAAAUGAUGAAAUACAUUGAAGAUCAGCUGUCGAAGAGGAAAGGAAAGCUGACGGAGGAGGGUGAGGAGGCGGAGGAGGGGAAAGGCAAGUACUGUUCGCCUGAGGAGGCCGCCCUGCAGGCAGUGCCCAAUCACCUCAGGGCCUCCUCCACGCAUCGAUCCGAGGAGAUGUUGUCCAAUCAGAUGCUCAGCGGUAUUCCUGAAGUCGAUCUCGGCAUAGAUGCAAAAAUACGAAACAUUGAGGCAACAGAGGAAGCAAAACUGAAACUUCUGUGGGAUCAGAGGUGCAAAAAAGAUGGACCGUCGCAGUUUGUUCCCACAAAUAUGGCCGUCAAUUUUGUACAACAUAAUCGAUUCAACAUAGAAGAAUCAGGUCCACCCAAGAAGCGAGACAAAGUGGAAGUUGAUAAGAAGAAAGUGACUGUUGAGAAACGCAACAGAGAGAACGGUGAAAAGGCAACAGAUGAUUACCAUUACGAAAAGUUCAAAAAACAGUUUCGUAGAUAUUAAUGCAAGCACACGGACAUUUUCCCACUAUUAUCGUCUUCAGAGUAGUUGGGAGUUGUGAGUCUAUUUUAUCAAUGUUGCUAAUUCUAUCUACAAUGACUAAUGUCGAUCAUUGGCGUUAAUUAUAGGUUCUUGUUUAUUUUGAAACCCAUUUUUCCAAAUGAAGGAUUAAGGCCAUUUUUUAAAACUCAGUUAAACAUCGUUGACUCAACGGUGCUUGUAAUUUUAUUAUCUAUUUGUAAAUAUAGUAUUUUAAUUUAUGGUUUUAUCACGUAUUAAAAUAAUUUAUCAUUCUA
This 1445-nucleotide unclassified non-coding RNA is filed under the name Nilaparvata lugens (brown planthopper). RNAcentral describes it as "telomere length and silencing protein 1 homolog, transcript variant X2". The record is from RNAcentral. Lineage: Eukaryota; Metazoa; Arthropoda; Insecta; Hemiptera; Delphacidae.